UGAACAUCCGUAAUAUGUUGACUAUUCUUUAAUCUUAAUAAAAAUCAAUAUUAACUUUGCCAAAGAAUUUGCGUUUUUAGUAAUUGCAAACAUAAAAAAUCGUUUGACGGAUAUAGUAGUUGCAGUGUUAACGAUCGAACAAUGGUAUUGAAAUACUUGAAACAAAUGCCUAUGUUAAAUUCACGAAACAAUCCUUUCGCCACGGAAGGAGGCAUUCAAAUUAAUCGUUUCCACCAAGAAUCAGGGUGACGUUCUAAUUCCUUUGAAAUCGUGAUUGUUUGAAGACGGCGUCCAAUGGCGGGGUAAUUAAUAACACCGACGUGGCACGUGGCCAAAAAUUAUAUUGCCAACGCUCGUAACGCCAAACAGCGAGGUCGGACGUUAAAGACACGCGAAUAGAAAGCGAGAGAGAGAGAGAGAGAGAGAGAGAGAGAGAGCUUUAAGCUACUGGCUGAGUACGUUGUCAUCCGCUCUGCUGAACAUCGCGCCAGGAUCAGGGUUAAUGCUUCUGUUCGAUGGGAGUCUGCCUUCUGAUGCGACUGGGGGAACAAGUGCUCGGAUUCUACUGUUUCUUAUACGCGAGAAUUACGUUUACGCUAAAUCGGGGAAUUCUGUAGCUCAACCAUAUUGUGAUUACUGGAUUCCAUUCUACAAAUGUUAAGGCUGCUUUCAUACCUAGAAUACAUGUGGAAAUGUUUCGAUAUAAACGACAAUUUGCUUAAAUUCAAGAUGAACCGAGAAAACGCUAGAAUUCGUUAGCAGCAGCCCCUCGCUCAUUUAUCACGUGCACAAGGGCAACGUGUAUAUUUCGGGGGUUGUAGCCGACGGAAAUGCAGGAAGUGUCUCUAGCCACCUUAUCUCCGACCCCGAGAGCGCGUAUGCUAAAUUGAAUAUGAAAUUACGUGGCUUAUCGCCCCCCCGAAUGCAAGCAAAUGUGAUAGCACAGUGUUAAGCGAUUUUCUACUAGUCAUCAUCUUCAAUUUUCCUUGAGUUUUUCGUUUAGAUAAUUUUUAUCCAUACUUAACAAACAAAGAAAAAUCGUUUAACAAUCUUCAUUUUGAUUCAAUUCAGAAUUUUUACUUUUAAUUAAUAAUCAACGAUUAAAACAUAAAAAAAGUUAUUUUUGUUGUUUCUAAGUAAUAAUCACGAGUUUGAAUAGUCAACUUGUUGUACA
This is a long non-coding RNA of Bombus huntii, 1174 nucleotides long. RefSeq lists it as uncharacterized. The transcript has 3 exons. The record is from RefSeq and is a predicted model, not a curated record. Lineage: Eukaryota; Metazoa; Arthropoda; Insecta; Hymenoptera; Apidae.